UGCGACUAUGGCCCGGGGGCCGCGGGAAUACGAUGGGUGCGGUGUUGUGCGGGAAGUACGGGGGGUAAAGAGCUGGUGGGCGGGCUGUGGGGUGCAUUGGGAAAACUGGCAGCGCAACUGCAAGCUUGCAGUCGAUGCGGGCAGACUAGAGUACUGCAGGGGAGACUGGAAUUCCUGGUGUAGCGGUGAAAUGCGCAGAUAUCAGGAGGAACACCGGUGGCGAAGGCGGGUCUCUGGGCAGUAACUGACGCUGAGAAGCGAAAGCGUGGGUAGCGAACAGGAUUAGAUACCCCAGUAGUC
Molecule: ribosomal RNA, 300 nt
Filed under: uncultured Lactobacillus sp.
Lineage: Bacteria; Bacillati; Bacillota; Bacilli; Lactobacillales; Lactobacillaceae
Description: bacterial SSU rRNA
Rfam family: Bacterial small subunit ribosomal RNA (bases 52-300)
Source: RNAcentral